This 359-nucleotide unclassified non-coding RNA is filed under the name uncultured fungus. RNAcentral describes it as "partial contains small subunit ribosomal RNA, internal transcribed spacer 1, and 5.8S ribosomal RNA". The stretch from base 1 to 73 matches the Rfam family "Eukaryotic small subunit ribosomal RNA", at positions 1759 to 1831 of the family's 1831-position model. Lineage: Eukaryota; Fungi. The record is from RNAcentral.
UCAAACUUGGUCAUUUAGAGGAAGUAAAAGUCGUAACAAGGUUUCCGUAGGUGAACCUGCGGAAGGAUCAUUAAUGGGUUUUUGCUUGUGAAGGGCUGUAGCUGGCCAUUAUCUAUAUAUUGGCAUGUGCACGCCUGGAUCGUUACACAAUCCACCUCUCUCACACACCUGUGCACAACUGUAGCUUAUGGGUGGGGAUUGCAGGACACAAAUUGUGGACUGCAUGAACUGCCUGUUUGCUAUGCAUUUCUUUUUCUACUACACUCUGUGUAAUAAAAGGUUCAAUGUGGAAUGUAAUCUAAUAAAAAACAACUUUCAGCAACGGAUCUCUUGGCUCUCGCAUCGAUGAAGAACGCAGC